RNAcentral lists this ribosomal RNA (414 nucleotides) under uncultured microorganism. RNAcentral's name for it is "bacterial SSU rRNA". It matches the Rfam family "Archaeal small subunit ribosomal RNA", at positions 459 to 872 of the family's 1478-position model. The record is from RNAcentral.
CAGCAGCCGCGGUAAUACCGGCGGCCCGAGUGGCGGCCACUAUUAUUGGGCUUAAAGCGUCCGUAGCCGGGUUGGGAAGUCCUCCGGGAAAUCUGGCCGCUUAACGGUCAGAAUUCCGGGAGAUACUGCCAGCCUAGGGACCGGGAGAGGCCGAGGGUAUUCCCGGAGCAGGGGUGAAAUCCUAUAAUCCCGGGAGGACCACCUGUGGCGAAGGCGCUCGGCUGGAACGGGUCCGACGGUGAGGGACGAAGGCCAGGGGAGCAAACCGGAUUAGAUACCCGGGUAGUCCUGGCUGUAAACGAUGCGGACUUUGUGUCGGACAAGCUAUGAGCUUGUCCGGUGCCGGAGGGAAACCGUUAAGUCCGCCGCCUGGGGAGUACGGCCGCAAGGCUGAAACUUAAAGGAAUUGGCGGG